RNAcentral lists this ribosomal RNA (1292 nucleotides) under metagenome. RNAcentral's name for it is "bacterial LSU rRNA". It matches the Rfam family "Bacterial large subunit ribosomal RNA", at positions 1635 to 2925 of the family's 2925-position model. The record is from RNAcentral.
UACACGACCGUACCGCAAACCGACACUGGUGCGCGAGAUGAGUAUUCUAAGGCGCUUGAGAGAACUCAGGAGAAGGAACUCGGCAAAUUGACACCGUAACUUCGGAAGAAGGUGUGCCUUUAGUAGGUGAACCAUUUACUUGGGGAGCCCAAUGAGGUUGCAAAAAAUCGGUGGCUGCGACUGUUUAAUAAAAACACAGCACUCUGCAAACACGAAAGCACGUAUAGGGUGUGACGCCUGCCCGGUGCUGGAAGAUUAAAUGAUGGGGUGCAAGCUCUUGAUUGAAGUCCCAGUAAACGGCGGCCGUAACAAUAACGGUCCUAAGGUAGCGAAAUUCCUUGUCGGGUAAGUUCCGACCUGCACGAAUGGCGUAACGAUGGCCACACUGUCUCCUCCUGAGACUCAGCGAAGUUGAAAUGUUUGUGAUGAUGCAAUCUCCCCGCGGAAAGACGGAAAGACCCCAUGAACCUUUACUGUAGCUUUGUAUUGGACUUUGAACAGAUCUGUGUAGGAUAGGUGGGAGGCUUUGAAGUGUGGUCGCUAGAUCGCAUGGAGCCAACGUUGAAAUACCACCCUGGUGUGUUUGAGGUUCUAACCUAGGCCCGUAAUCCGGGUCGGGGACAGUGCAUGGGCAGUUUGACUGGGGCGGUCUCCUCCCAAAGCGUAACGGAGGAGUUCGAAGGUACGCUAGGUACGGUCUGACAUCGUGCUAAUAGUGCAAUGGCAUAAGCGUGCUUAACUGCGAGACUGACAAGUCGAGCAGAUGCGAAAGCAGAACAUAGUGAUCCGGUGGUUCUGUAUGGAAGGGCCAUCGCUCAACGGAUAAAAGGUACUCUGGGGAUAACAGGCUGAUACCGCCCAAGAGUUCAUAUCGACGGCGGUGUUUGGCACCUCGAUGUCGGCUCAUCUCAUCCUGGGGCUGUAGCCGGUCCCAAGGGUAUGGCUGUUCGCCAUUUAAAGAGGUACGUGAGCUGGGUUUAAAACGUCGUGAGACAGUUUGGUCCCUAUCUUCCGUGGGCGCUGCAGAUUUGAGGAAGCCUGCUCCUAGUACGAGAGGACCGGAGUGGACACACCUCUGGUGUAUCGGUUGUCACGCCAGUGGCAUUGCCGAGUAGCUAUGUGGAAGAGAUAACCGCUGAAACAUCUAAGCGGGAAACUCGUUUCAAGAUGAGAUCUGCCGGGGCCUUGAGCCCCCUAAAGAGUCGUUCAAGACCAGGACGUUGAUAGGUCAGGUGUGGAAGCGCAGUAAUGCGUUAAGCUAACUGAUACUAAUUGCUCGUGCGGCUUGACCA